UACGUAGGGGGCUAGCGUUGUCCGGAAUCGUUGGGCGUAAAGCGUGCGUAGGUGGUUUGUUAAGUCUGUUGUGAAAGCCCCGGGCUCAACCUGGGAAUGGCAAUGGAUACUGGCAAGCUAGAGUGCGGUAGAGGGUAGUGGAAUUCCCGGUGUAGCGGUGAAAUGCGCAGAUAUCGGGAAGAACACCCAUGGCGAAGGCAGCUCUCUGGGACGGUACCGACGCUGAGACGCGAAAGCGUGGGGAGCGAACAGG
RNAcentral lists this ribosomal RNA (253 nucleotides) under uncultured bacterium. Its description in RNAcentral is "partial 16S ribosomal RNA". It matches the Rfam family "Bacterial small subunit ribosomal RNA", at positions 524 to 776 of the family's 1533-position model. The record is from RNAcentral.